RNAcentral lists this small RNA (84 nucleotides) under Sinorhizobium meliloti 2011. RNAcentral describes it as "putative ncRNA". Lineage: Bacteria; Pseudomonadati; Pseudomonadota; Alphaproteobacteria; Hyphomicrobiales; Rhizobiaceae. The record is from RNAcentral.
GAGCGAACUGCAUGACCUUGAGUGUCAGGAUUCGGCCGCCCGGCGCAAGUGCGGAUUUGGCCGGCCAGCCGACGAAGCUCGUGA